Acinonyx jubatus (cheetah) is the source of this 3209-nucleotide long non-coding RNA. RefSeq lists it as uncharacterized. The transcript is spliced from 4 exons. The record is from RefSeq and is a predicted model, not a curated record. NCBI's taxonomy places the organism in Eukaryota, Metazoa, Chordata, Mammalia, Carnivora, Felidae.
CCGCUUUGGAGGGAAGAGGAACAGGAGGUGGUGGAAGUGUUCGUGGUGAGGAUCUGGAUGUACGCGCCCGGGGCGGCAGCGGCGGCGGCGGCGGCGGGGAAGCCGGGGCUGGCUAGCAGUGCCCUUUUGUCCAUGGAGGCUGCUGCGGCGGCGGCGACGACAGCCGCCCCCUCCCCACCCCCGGCGGUCACCAGUCGGAGUUUCCAAGUCUCUCCUCCUUCUCUCCUCCCCGCCCGGCGCUUCCGAGCCCCUUCUGUCUCGUUUCUUUUUAUUUUUCCGCACCGCACGGGCACCGGGGGCCAAAAAUAAUCGGGGCUCUGGAGAGAGGAGGGUCCCGGCCGCACGGAUAUCGGGCCCCGAGGGGGGAUGGAGGCGUCGGGGGCGGCCGAUGCAACGGAUUGCGAGGCGGCGGCGGCAGCCCGGGUGCUGCGGCCGGCAGCUGAAAAAUGGCUCCAGGAAGCUGCUGCUGACAAUGAAUGAAGGGAUACGGUUUACGCGCCAAGGUCCUCCCGCGAAACUCAGAUUUCCCGCCGGCUUUUCAAACCAUAUUUGCAUAUCCCCGCCCUUCAACCCGCCGAGGACCGUUCCCACAGCCCAUUGGGCCUCUAGCUCCUUACUUAAGUCCCAAUCGUGGCGCAGGGCCGCGGCUGGCUGGUUUCCAUUGGCUGUCUUGCAUCACGGUUACCGGGGCGACAGGGGCCUCAUUUGCAUAGACCUCCUUGAUUGGCUAAGGGAGAGCAGGGUCUUUGGGAGGUGGGGCAAAAGCUUUUCCUUCUCUCCCACGGAAAGCCACGCCUUGUCCAAGCUCCGCCCGGUCCCCGCCCGCACGCCGGGCGGGGGCUGCUGACCUGGGCAGGCGGUCAGGGCCCCGCAGACUCAGUGUCAAUCCGGUCUGGAGCGCAAGUUUCGCUUUUAGAAAUUGUCAAGGUGACCAAGGGGACACUUGCGGGAAUUCUCUUUCCUUUGGCCAGUCAGUGUAAUAGAUGAGCAAAAGCUGGAGAUUCUCCCAAAUAUGUUCCAAAGGCAAGUUGGACCACGCGGACGAUGCCUGGCAGGGCAUUUGGUAGAAAACAAACGUUUUGACAUGGUAACAUGUGGUGAACCCCAGGUUGAAGUGGUAGAGAGAAGGGUCCGGAGAGAGAAGAGAAGGUGUUGGAAAACGAGAUGCGAAAAUUUGAGGCAACAAGACUCCAGCCAUACCAAACUGCCUGAAGUUCCUCAGAUGGUCUCUCCCACUUCCGUUACUGCUACAGCUGUUACUCUGCUUGAAAAUGCCCAUCACUGUCUGUCAAAAUUCUACAGUUACUCAUCUUUUAAGGCUCAGCUCAGGGAACACCUCCUCCGUGUAGAUUCCUCAGAUCACAUCCCCCGCCCCCUGCAAUAUUUUUCAUUCAUCCGGAGAGUGUUUGCUGAGCAUGUACUUUGUGUCAGACUCCAAUUUAGAAACUGCGGCUGUAAGUGAGAAGCAGAUAAACUUAGAGGUUGUCUUCAUCAAGCUUAAGACAGAGACUCGCAAGUAGGGAAUAAUAAUAAUGACAUAGUGAUAGCUAUAUAUGAUAAUCAUACAUGAUAAGUGCCGUGAUGUGAGGCAAUACCUGAGGCUCUUAAAGCACCGCAGAAGGACACCUCACCUGGGCUUAGCGAGAAUUUAGGGAAGGCUUCCUGGAGGAGGAAAUAGAGGAAUGAAUAGGAAUUGCUCAGGUGAUAUAGCAUGGGAGCAGGGAACAUGAAUGCAUGGCCUCUUGAAAAAAAUGGAAGUGGUUCAGCAGGGGAUUGUGGAGUACCUUAUAAACCAGUAUGGAGACAUUUGGAAUUUUUCCUAAAGGCAACGAGAAGUCAUUGAGACGAUGUAUGACGUGAUAAGAUCUGGUCUAAGAAGGACUCCUGGCCGCAGAAUGAGGAAUGUGUUGGAGGGGCCGGGACUAUGGCAAUAAUCUAGGUCAGCGCGCCAUGUUCCAGGUCAAAUCUGGCCCAUGGUCUGUUUUUAUACACCCUGUGAUCUAAGAAUGAUUUUUAUCCUUUUUACACUUUUGAGUGGUUGAAGAAACAUCCAAAGAAGAGUGUAUCCCACGACACAUGAAAAAGUAAAUCAAAUGCAAAGCUUGGUUUUUGUUAAUAAAGUUUUAUGAGAGCAUAGUCAAGCCCAUUGGUUUACAUAUCGUCUAUGGCUGCUUUCGGGCUACAAGGGCAGAGUUGAGUCAUUGCAACACAGUUGAACCCAUGAAGCUGAACAUAUGUAUCUGGCCCUUCACAGGAUAAGUUGGCCAACCUCUGAUCUGAGUAAGAUAUCAUAGUGAAUUAGACCAGGCUACCCAGGCAGAUGUAGAUGUCUCCUCUUUUCCACAGCAUGUGAAUUAUGGUAAUCUAUUGCUUUCUUAUUGUUUUUUUUUUCUCUUCCAUGAAACUGUGGACGUCUUCAGAGCAGAUAUUUUUCUUUAGUUAACCUUGUCUCUCGGUACUUAGCACGCUGUACUUGCUCAGUAAAUGUCUGCUGGAUAAAUGAUGUAUGUGGGUUUAUAUGUGUGUGACACUCACGUAUAGAUAUACAGAAAGCAUCUGCUGUUUUGCCUGCUGCCAGGAACCUUGUGAUUUAGUUGAAGCUGAGCCCCUUUACCCCCACUCGAGGGGUGGCACUGUGACUCAGGCCUGUCCAGCAAGCCUUUUUUAGUUAAGUCUUUGCUUUUAAUACUUGGAAACUCAUAGGGCCAUCUUUCCCUUCAUUUAGUAUUGCCUAAAGUUGACCUUGCUUUCAUCCUGCCCCAAACUGGAGGGAUAUCCAUGAUGAAAACUCAAAGUUUAUCCCCCUAGUUACUCACUAGUCCUGUUCUUGUACGGUACAUGUUCUUGUAUGUGGGCAGGUGGAUUAGAGCAUCCUGGUGCUUUUGGGAAUGCCCUUGGGUGGAGAAGAAGCCCUCAGAGAAACAAACAGGAAAAGUAAAAGAAUAGCAAAUGUAAAAGGUGGAAGGCAAGAGGAAGAAAAGAAAGAGGUAGAAUGUGGAACCACAGCAGUGUGAUGGACAGUUGCCUGAAAUGCCACUAAUUUGCACAAACGGAAUCUAAGAUGAGUGGCAGGCACUUUGGAUGGAAUAUUAAAGAUUUUAAGACACUGGAUAUGAUUUAUCAAAUGUAAAAACAUCUGAAUUUGUGAGUACUUCAUAGAUUAUAAAGCCUUAUGCUUUUACAUGAAAAUAUUUUAACUUUACAAGUAA